This is a long non-coding RNA of Lutra lutra (Eurasian river otter), 910 nucleotides long. RefSeq lists it as uncharacterized. NCBI's taxonomy places the organism in Eukaryota, Metazoa, Chordata, Mammalia, Carnivora, Mustelidae. The transcript has 2 exons. The record is from RefSeq and is a predicted model, not a curated record.
UACUAUGUUGAGCCGUGGUGGAGGUGGACAUCCCUGUCUUGUUCUUGACAGAGCCCUGCAAACUGAAUAUGAACGACUUGACAUAACUUCAGAGAAAUCACCACGACAGCUCAUAUGGAGAAAGUCUCAUGCCUGCUGCUGUGUUGGAUUGUUAACCAUCUCGAGACAUUUGACCCACAAACCAGGGAAAUCUGUUGACUGUCUUGCCUGCUCUUGUAUCUGAAGGUGCUUCGGGCUUGACAUCUAGAAAUCCUGUCUACUGGCUUUGUCAGGACCCAAAAGCUGAUUUCUAUUAUGACCUGAUCAUUAACCAUCAUUUUUCCCUUUGUUUCCAUAGAAAUGCCUCUUGUUUGAUCCCUGAUUUCUUGAACCAUAGGCUAACCUUUGAAAACACAUCUGUAUCACCACCUCCUGAAAUGAGUUUAACGGAACUGACCUGUGGUCAGGAUGAAGCGGAGUUCAAUGAAAUGGAACAAUUCACAGCUUAACUUUUCAUAGGGAGAACUUCUAGGGAGGUUCCAGAGGGGGGCCGAGUUCUGUAGGGGCCCAGGGCAGGUUGCCCCAAAUGUGACGCAUUGGUAUGAAGACUAUUUUGGGUUAAAAAUCAAGAGAGCUGCUCUGCCUCCUCUGUAACUGUCUAAAUUUACAUUGGAAGGGAGACCCUGCAACAGGAAGACAAGUAUUAAUGCCUCCCACCCCUAUCAAAGGAACUCAUCUGCAUAGUAGAACAAUCUUGUUUUUCUGAACAUUUCCUUCACAUUCUUGCUAAUAGGUUUUCUCCCUUUGUGACCUCAGGCCCCUACCUUCUUCCUUAGCCCUUACAAGCUUCAUGUUGCCCCAUCAUCUUUGGAAUUCCUUGUUGGUGUGGAUUCCUUUUCUGUAUGCCUAUUAAAUUUGAUUUUCUCUUGUG